This 250-nucleotide ribosomal RNA is filed under the name uncultured prokaryote. RNAcentral's name for it is "partial 16S rRNA". It matches the Rfam family "Bacterial small subunit ribosomal RNA", at positions 525 to 775 of the family's 1533-position model. The record is from RNAcentral.
ACGUAGGGGGCAAGCGUUAUCCGGAAUUAUUGGGCGUAAAGAGUGCGUAGGUGGUUUUUUAAGCGUGAGGUGAAAGGCAAUAGCUUAACUAUUGUAAGCCUUGCGAACUGGAAGACUUGAGUGCAGGAGAGGAAAGUGGAAUUCCUAGUGUGGCGGUGUAAUGCGUAGAAAUUAGGAGGAAGACCAGUGGCGAAGGCGACUAUCCGGGCUUUAACUGACCCGGAGGCCCGAAAGCGUGGGGAGCAAACAG